Molecule: ribosomal RNA, 468 nt
Filed under: uncultured bacterium
Lineage: Bacteria
Description: partial 16S ribosomal RNA
Rfam family: Bacterial small subunit ribosomal RNA
Source: RNAcentral
GACGAACGCUGGCGGCGUGCUUAACACAUGCAAGUCGAACGGAAAGGCCCUGCUUUUGUGGUGUUCUCGAGUGGCGAACGGGUGAGUAACACGUGAGUAACCUGCCCUUGACUUUGGGAUAACUUCAGGAAACUGGGGCUAAUCCCGGAUAGGACCUCCUGCUGCAUGUUGGUGGUUGGAAAGUUUCGGCGGUUGGGGAUGGGCUCGCGGCUUAUCAGUUUGUUGGUGGGGUAGUGGCUUACCAAGGCUUUGACGGGUAGCCGGCCGGGGAGGGUGACCGGCACCAUUGGAACUGAGUUACGGCCAAGACUCCUACGGGAGGCAGCAGUGGGGAAUAUUGCAAAAUGGGCGGAAGCCUGAUGCAGCAACGCCGCUUGCGGGAUGACGGCCUUCGGGUUGUAAACCGUUUUCGCCUGUGACGAAGCGUGAGUGACGGUAAUGGGUAAAGAAGCACCGGCUAACUACGUG